RNAcentral lists this unclassified non-coding RNA (743 nucleotides) under Hevea brasiliensis (rubber tree). Lineage: Eukaryota; Viridiplantae; Streptophyta; Magnoliopsida; Malpighiales; Euphorbiaceae. The record is from RNAcentral.
UUUCACCUUCAGGGUAAACGGUUACACAGAAAGAGAGAGAGAUUUCUGAGAUUGAGGGGAGAGAGAGUGAGUUCCUGGGGAUGAAAAACAGGAGAUUCCGGCGACAACUGGAAGUCCGAUUACCCACUACCGGAGGGCCGGACAGUCAAUUUCAAAGCGAGAAGCAGUGGUAAAAAAGACAAGAUGCAAUUCCAUUGGACUAUGAUAUGGUCAUUCAGAAUUGUCUUCCACAGAAAGCAAGCUCAUCACAAUCACAAGAAAGUAGUGGCUAGACCUUCCGCUUGCAGAAUGUUGGUGAGCCAGCUCAAUACGAAUUUUUUUGUCAGCAAUUUGGCAUUUCAGAGGAGCCUUUAUACAAUCAAGGGGCUUUGAUGGGGCCUGCAUAACCACACACUAAAAAUAUGAAUUUAGAAUACUCGGGCGGAACCAUUCAUCACCAUCAACUCAGUGAAGAGAGAAGCAAAGAAUAUAGAAAGUAGGCAAUCCCGUUAUAGUGAUCGAUUCAUUGUAGAGUUUGGGGAGCUUCAAUGUGGAUGUGAUUAUUUUUAAUUAUCUAGUUAACUUGAAUGUUCGCCCCCCUGAUCUAUCUGUUAUCAGAUAUUAACUUUAUUGUCAUUCAUUUGAGGUAAAAAUAUUUGAACCGCAGUUCUUUUGUGGUUUCGGGUUAUUCCUUUCCUCUUGGAUUGUUUCCUUAUUUUUCCCAGCACCAUGCGACAGAAAAUUUGAGGGUCGAUGUUGCUUGU